AAAUUGAAGAGUUUGAUCAUGGCUCAGAUUGAACGCUGGCGGCAGGCCUAACACAUGCAAGUCGAACGGUAGCACAGAGAGCUUGCUCUCGGGUGACGAGUGGCGGACGGGUGAGUAAUGUCUGGGAAACUGCCUGAUGGAGGGGGAUAACUACUGGAAACGGUGGCUAAUACCGCAUAACGUCGCAAGACCAAAGAGGGGGACCUUCGGGCCUCUUGCCAUCAGAUGUGCCAAGAUGGGAUUAGCUUGUUGGUGAGGUAACGGCUCACCAAG
RNAcentral lists this ribosomal RNA (273 nucleotides) under Salmonella enterica subsp. enterica serovar Infantis. RNAcentral describes it as "partial 16S ribosomal RNA". It matches the Rfam family "Bacterial small subunit ribosomal RNA", at positions 1 to 272 of the family's 1533-position model. The record is from RNAcentral. Lineage: Bacteria; Pseudomonadati; Pseudomonadota; Gammaproteobacteria; Enterobacterales; Enterobacteriaceae.